AUCUAGAUAGUUUAAAUUUAGAAUUAUAAUUUGUGGUAUUAUAGGUGUAAUAUUACUCUGGAUU
This 64-nucleotide transfer RNA is filed under the name Neomegalotomus parvus. Its description in RNAcentral is "tRNA-His". The record is from RNAcentral. Lineage: Eukaryota; Metazoa; Arthropoda; Insecta; Hemiptera; Alydidae.